Molecule: ribosomal RNA, 496 nt
Filed under: uncultured bacterium
Lineage: Bacteria
Description: partial 16S ribosomal RNA
Rfam family: Bacterial small subunit ribosomal RNA
Source: RNAcentral
GAUGAACGCUGGCGGCGUGCCUAAUACAUGCAAGUCGAGCGAACAGACGAGGAGCUUGCUCCUCUGACGUUAGCGGCGGACGGGUGAGUAACACGUGGAUAACCUACCUAUAAGACUGGGAUAACUUCGGGAAACCGGAGCUAAUACCGGAUAAUAUAUUGAACCGCAUGGUUCAAUAGUGAAAGACGGUUUUGCUGUCACUUAUAGAUGGAUCCGCGCCGCAUUAGCUAGUUGGUAAGGUAACGGCUUACCAAGGCGACGAUGCGUAGCCGACCUGAGAGGGUGAUCGGCCACACUGGAACUGAGACACGGUCCAGACUCCUACGGGAGGCAGCAGGAGGGAAUCUUCCGCAAUGGGCGAAAGCUUGACGGAGCAACGCGGCGUGAGUGAUGAAGGUCUUCGGAUCGUAAAACUCUGUUAUUAGGGAAGAACAAAUGUGUAAGUAACUAUGCACGUCUGGACGGUACCUAAGCAGAAAGCCACGGCUAACUACGU